GAAAUUGUAUUACCGGUGAAGAUACCGGUUACCUACAGUAGGACGGAAAGACCCCAUGGAGCUUUACUGUAGCUUGGUAUUGGGUUUUGGCAUGGCAUGUAUAGGAUAGUUGGGAGACUGGGAAGGACUGGCGCUAGCUGUACCGGAGUCAUCGGUGGAAUACCAACCAUUCCCUGCUGACAUUCUCAUCUGUACUUUGGAGGUA
Molecule: ribosomal RNA, 205 nt
Filed under: Fusobacterium necrophorum
Lineage: Bacteria; Fusobacteriati; Fusobacteriota; Fusobacteriia; Fusobacteriales; Fusobacteriaceae
Description: partial 23S ribosomal RNA
Rfam family: Bacterial large subunit ribosomal RNA
Source: RNAcentral